UGGGCUUGACAUCCCACGAACCUGAAAGUGGUUUUCCGCAAGGACACCUGUAGAGGUGCUGCAUGGCUGUCGUCAGCUCGUGUCGUGAGAUGUUGGGUUAAGUCCCGCAACGGGCGCAACCCUUGUCCGCUGUUGCCAUCAGGUAAUGCUGGGCACUCUGCGGAGACUGCCGGUGACAAACCGGAGGAAGGUGGGGAUGACGUCAAGUCAGCAUGGCCUUUAUGUCCGGGGCUACACACGUGCUACAAUGGCCGGUACAAACCGCUGCAAACUCGCGAGGGUGAGCUAAUCGGAGAAAGCCGGUCUCAGUUCGGAUCGUAGGCUGCAACUCGCCUGCGUGAAGUCGGAAUCGCUAGUAAUCGCGGAUCAGCACGCCGCGGUGAAUACGUUCCCGGGCCUUGUACACACCGCCCGUCACAUCACGAAAGCUGGCUGUACUCGAAGUCGCUGAGAAUCUC
Molecule: ribosomal RNA, 458 nt
Filed under: uncultured bacterium
Lineage: Bacteria
Description: bacterial SSU rRNA
Rfam family: Bacterial small subunit ribosomal RNA
Source: RNAcentral